RNAcentral lists this ribosomal RNA (459 nucleotides) under uncultured soil bacterium. Its description in RNAcentral is "bacterial SSU rRNA". It matches the Rfam family "Bacterial small subunit ribosomal RNA", at positions 26 to 495 of the family's 1533-position model. The record is from RNAcentral.
AGAUUGAACGCUGGCGGCACGCUUAACACAUGCAAGUCGAGCGGUUUGAUAUCUAGCUUGCUAGAUAUCGGAUAGCGGCGGACGGGUGAGUAACGCGUAGGAAUCUGCCUUAGAGCGGGGGAUAACACGGGGAAACUCGUGCUAAUACCGCAUAAUACCUGAGGGUUAAAGAGGGCGAAAGCACUCACUCUAAGAGGAGCCUGCGUUGGAUUAGCUAGUUGGUGGGUAAAGGCCUACCAAGGCGAAGAUCCAUAGCUGGUCUGAGAGGACGGACAGCCACACUGGGACUGAGACACGGCCCAGACUCCUACGGGAGCAGCAGUGGGAAUAUUGGACAAGUGGGGCAACCUGAUCCAGCGAUGCCGCGUGUGUGAAGAAGGCCGUGCGGUAGUAAGCACGUUUCGGUGGUGAGGAGUGUCGUUGUGGUAGUUAAGUAGUCUAUGCGAGGUGUACGUUACG